AAACAUAGCCUACUAUUUAACUUAGGUACAACCCUGCCCUCUGACUUUUAACAGCCGCGGUAUCCUAACCGUGCUAAGGUAGCAUAAUCACUUGCCUAUUAAUUAUAGGCUAGAAUGAACGGGAUCACUCACUUAAACUUAUUUUUAUUUAAAUUUAAAUUAAACUUUAAGUCAAAAUACUAAAUUAAAAAGAAAGACAAAAAGACCCUGAAAACUAUUAGAAAUAAUUAGUUGGGGCAACUAUAGACCACUCUAGCGUCUAUUUUUUUUUAAACUCUUAAAAUCUAAAGUAUCCAGUUACUUCAGGGAUAACAGACUAAUUUUAUUAUUUAGACCCAAUAAAUAAUAAAGAUUGGCACCUCGAUGUUGGCUUAUAUUUCCUUCAUAUAGCAACAUAUAUAGAAGGCAGCUUGUUCAUCUGUUAAAUAUUUACAUGAGCUGAGUUCA
RNAcentral lists this ribosomal RNA (447 nucleotides) under Stygocapitella sp. 422_02. Its description in RNAcentral is "partial large subunit ribosomal RNA". It matches the Rfam family "Bacterial large subunit ribosomal RNA", at positions 1811 to 2613 of the family's 2925-position model. Lineage: Eukaryota; Metazoa; Annelida; Polychaeta; Parergodrilidae. The record is from RNAcentral.